RNAcentral lists this small nuclear RNA (107 nucleotides) under Microcebus murinus (gray mouse lemur). The record is from RNAcentral. Lineage: Eukaryota; Metazoa; Chordata; Mammalia; Primates; Cheirogaleidae.
GUGCUCGCUUCGACAGGACAUAUACUAAAACUGGAACGAUACAGAGAAGAUUAGCAUGGUCCCUGCACAGAGAUGACACUCAAAUUCGUGAAGUAUUCCAUAAAAAA